Molecule: long non-coding RNA, 1481 nt
Filed under: Dromaius novaehollandiae (emu)
Lineage: Eukaryota; Metazoa; Chordata; Aves; Casuariiformes; Dromaiidae
Description: lncRNA (ENSDNVG00000012413.1)
Source: RNAcentral
GGGGAGGCGGCGCGGCGGCUCGCGGUGCUCGCUGUCGGCGAUGCCCAUGGCACUGCGGCGUUCCUGCCUCGCGCCGUCCUCGUCUCCCUGGGGCUCUCCUGUGCUUUGCGUAGGUCCUACCAAAACAGGCAAAGGGGCGGGUGGGAUGGGAGAAGAUGCUCUGCACUAGCGGUGUCCGUGGCCGUCUCCGUGCCGGAUGCUGGGAAGCGAAAYGGGCUCCUGGCCUGCUCCCUGGCUCUGCCGGGCGUUACGGGGCUCCAGGCCCUCCAAAGCCRAACGGGAAGAAACACGGYGCCGCGGCGUGAAAACACGGCAAGYGGCUCUGGGGCUGAUUUAAAGGGCAGCGUGGCUUUGCUGAGUGCUGCUGGCCGGCGCGGCGGGAGUGAGGCAUUGCUCCGGCUCAGUAGGCUUGUCCUCCCCCUCCGCCAGCUGUGCAAUAGAUCAUGAACAUAUGCAAAAAAACACGCUGCAUCAAAGCCACUUGGCAGCUUAACUAACCCAAUUCAUAAAUUAAUUUCUAUUCCUCUUGUAAGGGAGAAAUCAGUCACUCCUCGAGGCGAUCCAUCUCUAUCGCUCGUCUGGCCACAUCCUUUCAUAAAUCACCCCCUCCAAGUCCGAGCUGGUGAUUGCUGGGUCAAGAUGCAAUUGCGCUUAGCGCCCACGCCGAGCCCCGCGGACGCGGGGGUGCGGGACGGGCAGUGCCCAGGCGCCGGUGCCCCCGGGGAGGGUGGUUUUCUCCGCGUURCCCUGCCGUGGACGGCGAGGCCGCGGCAAAGCCGGCGCUCAGCUCUGCUGCAAGUGGGCAGUGACGCCGGCCCUGCGGCCCCAUGCGAAACGUGGGCAGGCAGCAGGUGAUGGGUUUUGGGGGGACGGCAGGGCCCGGUGGUGCAUGGCCUGGGGACGCGUGGGGACGGCUGCUGGUCCUYGCCAGAGCUUUCGAGGGAGCGGUGGCUUUGCAAAAUGCUGCUUUGCAAAACGGGGCUUUGCAAAACGGGACURUGCACGUCCUGCUCCAGCCUGGAUGCUGGCUGGUGCCCGCGGUCACCGCUGCUUGGCUUGGCCAUCCUCGCGGGCUGGCGGUCCCGAACAGACACGGCUCUUCGGUUACAGCCCUYGCCCUGCUCCCCCUUUCCGGAAAAACUCGCCACCUUUUCAGGCUGCCAUCUGUUUAUUUUGUUGGCCUCCGAACUUGCUGAAAUGUCUCGUGGUGGCUGAGGCGACGCAGAGUGGAAGAACAGAGCCUGGCAGGCUGCAGGAGCAUCCGACGCGUCGCCGCGGCCYGGGCCGGCCCCGGAGAGCCCCGUGCUGCCCGGGAGCCUCCGUGCUGCUCGCUUUGGAGGGAAGCGGCUUUGUCUUUCCACGGGGAGGGCUGGAUUUUUUCCUGCUUCGGGACACGAAUCUCCCCCCAGAUUCCUGAGCACUCUGCUGCCUGGUCCGUCCUUGGCUGGGUGCAUUUUUUUCCUGUUUAAUAUGAUUUUAUA